RNAcentral lists this unclassified non-coding RNA (476 nucleotides) under Hevea brasiliensis (rubber tree). Lineage: Eukaryota; Viridiplantae; Streptophyta; Magnoliopsida; Malpighiales; Euphorbiaceae. The record is from RNAcentral.
CAGAUGUUGACCAAUGAAAGCCCCGAGCACGGCAGGUGCACCGAACAAACCAAUCACUAACCACGGACUUGAAACAUAGGGAAUGGGUGAAGAUGAUACGAGGGGAAGAACAAAAGCAACAAAUACAGAGAAGCCAAUAGCGCACAUCCACAUGAGCACGAGACUCAAGGAUGAUAAGGCCAAGGAAACCAUGGCAGAACGUCCACCCAUAAUUACUGAUGUCGUCCAUAUUAGAAGUGCCUGCACUAUCACUGUAUUGUAGAGCAAACUCGCAAAAUACUGUCGGAAUACGACCAUGUAUGUUCCCAAAAUGUCGAAAUAUAUAGCAGUAUCCUGGCCAGACUUUCCACUGGAAUUUGUCCCCUUGCCUUUGGGCAAAUUUGUAGAAGUUCCAGCCUUAAGCAGAAAAGCAAGCAUAUUUUCUCCAAGAUGUUGAAGAGAACCAGGCUUUAAAAGCUUUAAUUUGUCAUUCUUUG